RNAcentral lists this ribosomal RNA (327 nucleotides) under uncultured eukaryote. Its description in RNAcentral is "partial 18S ribosomal RNA". It matches the Rfam family "Eukaryotic small subunit ribosomal RNA", at positions 1470 to 1796 of the family's 1831-position model. The record is from RNAcentral.
CCCUUAGAUGUCCGGGGCCGCACGCGCGCUACAAUGGAUGAAUCAACGCGUCAUCCUGGCCCGAAAGGGUUGGGGAACCGCUGAACCUCAUCCGUGGUUGGGAUUGGGGUUUGUAAUUAUUCCCCAUGAACUAGGAAUUCCCAGUAAGCGCGAGUCAUAAGCUCGCGUUGAUUACGUCCCUGCCCUUUGUACACACCGCCCGUCGCUACUACCGAUUGGAUGGUUUAGUGAGAUCCUCGGAUUGGUCACGGCACGGUGGCAACACUGCGUCGGUGUGCCGAGAGGACGAUCAAACUUGAUCAUCUAGAGGAAGUAAAAGUCGUAACA